CCAGCUCCAAUAGCGUAUAUUAAAGUUGUUGCAGUUAAAAAGCUCGUAGUUGAAAUUCUGAUUGUUCGGGUUUUUAGUCUUUAGACGGAAAUACCGACAGUCAUCCGCUUGCAAACAUAUGUUCGAUCUUCACCGGUUGACUAUGUGAGUAAGCAUUUUACCUUGAGAAAAACAGAGUGUUCCAGGCAGGUUUGUCCGGAAUGCAUUAGCAUGGAAUAAUAGAACAUGACUGAAGUCUAUUUAUUGGUUAAAGGCUUUAGUAAUGAUUAAUAGGAACAGUCGGGGGCAUUCGUACUCAGCAGUCAGAGGUGAAAUUCUAAGAUUUGCUGAAGACGAACUAAUGCGAAAGCAUUUGCCAAGGAUGUUUUCA
Molecule: ribosomal RNA, 370 nt
Filed under: uncultured Vorticella
Lineage: Eukaryota; Ciliophora; Oligohymenophorea; Sessilida; Vorticellidae
Description: SSU rRNA
Rfam family: Eukaryotic small subunit ribosomal RNA
Source: RNAcentral